UUCAACUCCAGCCAGAGUGACUUCACUUCAACCAUCAACCGUCACUUUUCAAUCAUGAAUCUGACUGCAAUCUUCAACUCUGUACAAACAUCAUAUUCAAGUAGGUGGUGUGAGGACUGCUGCCCUGAGAACGCUGUGUCAGAGACACUUAGGCUGUGUGCAUUUUGGAAUGUUCCAAAUGUGUGUCACUUCCAUAAGGAAGAAGUUCCAAGCCUGCAAGUGAGUUCACUCACCAAAUAGAGACACACGCAUAUAGCAUUUAAUAUGUGUGCAUGUACUGUAUUUGUGUCUGUAACUGUUUAGUUUAUCCCCUCCUUUCAUGUGUCUGUUAUGACUUUGUGGGCUCAACUGUCAACAACUGUCCAGGGCGAAGUCGGUCUACUCUGAUGGCACUACCUGAUGGCACUGCCCUGAUGAUGUCUGUUAGCCAUGGCUGCUGCCCUCAACAUGGUGAGCCAUCCAGAAGUCCCAGCCUGGAGCCAGAGGCUGCUAUUGCAAGUCAGAUGGGAGAUGGCCUACAGUAUGUUAGGCAUCAGAAAAGUGGUGUUCGCAUGAAGGCAGAGUUGCCGCAGGCAAUUAUGAGAUUAGACACUUGACAUUUACUGCGAAAGGUACCAUCAGAGCACCUCUCCCUACCCUGCAGGAUACCUAUACCAGAAGAGUACAACAACGGCCCAAAAGUAUUUCAAAAGACAUUUCACGCUCUGACCACGGACUGUUUAAACCACGUCAAGCAGACGUCUCU
This is a long non-coding RNA of Sardina pilchardus (European sardine), 745 nucleotides long. RefSeq lists it as uncharacterized. The record is from RefSeq and is a predicted model, not a curated record. NCBI's taxonomy places the organism in Eukaryota, Metazoa, Chordata, Actinopteri, Clupeiformes, Clupeidae. The transcript has 4 exons.